GGUUGCUUCGUCCAGUGGUAGGAUACCUCUUUCGGGCAAUACCCGGUGUGUUUCACACCUAGUCAAAAGAGGCUCUAGAAUUAUAGAGGUGGUCGCGAGUUCGAAUCCCGCAGUGACCC
This 119-nucleotide transfer RNA is filed under the name Ustilago trichophora. RNAcentral's name for it is "transfer RNA-Pro(CGG)". It matches the Rfam family "tRNA". Rfam says of the family: Transfer RNA (tRNA) molecules are approximately 80 nucleotides in length. Their secondary structure includes four short double-helical elements and three loops (D, anti-codon, and T loops). Further hydrogen bonds mediate the characteristic L-shaped molecular structure. tRNAs have two regions of fundamental functional importance: the anti-codon, which is responsible for specific mRNA codon recognition, and the 3' end, to which the tRNAs corresponding amino acid is attached (by aminoacyl-tRNA synthetases). tRNAs cope with the degeneracy of the genetic code in two manners: having more than one tRNA (with a specific anti-codon) for a particular amino acid; and 'wobble' base-pairing, i.e. permitting non-standard base-pairing at the 3rd anti-codon position. Lineage: Eukaryota; Fungi; Basidiomycota; Ustilaginomycetes; Ustilaginales; Ustilaginaceae. The record is from RNAcentral.